This 458-nucleotide ribosomal RNA is filed under the name Theileria annulata. Its description in RNAcentral is "SSU rRNA". It matches the Rfam family "Eukaryotic small subunit ribosomal RNA", at positions 486 to 984 of the family's 1831-position model. Lineage: Eukaryota; Apicomplexa; Aconoidasida; Piroplasmida; Theileriidae. The record is from RNAcentral.
CGGGGCUUAAAGUCUUGUAAUUGGAAUGAUGGGAAUUUAAACCUCUUCCAGAGUAUCAAUUGGAGGGCAAGUCUGGUGCCAGCAGCCGCGGUAAUUCCAGCUCCAAUAGCGUAUAUUAAAAUUGUUGCAGUUAAAAAGCUCGUAGUUGAAUUUCUGCUGCAUUGCUUGUGUCCCUCUGGGGUCUGUGCAUGUGGCUUUUUUCGGACGGAGUUUCUUUGUCUGAAUGUUUACUUUGAGAAAAUUAGAGUGCUCAAAGCAGGCUUUCGCCUUGAAUAGUUUAGCAUGGAAUAAUAAAGUAGGACUUUGGUUCUAUUUUGUUGGUUUUAGGUACCGAAGUAAUGGUUAAUAGGAACAGUUGGGGGCAUUCGUAUUUAACUGUCAGAGGUGAAAUUCUUAGAUUUGUUAAAGACGAACUACUGCGAAAGCAUUUGCCAAGGAUGUUUUCAUUAAUCAAGAAC